AAGCAAAGAUGUUCCCGUAAAGAGGUGAAAAUCAUAUAUGGUUCACUUAUUCAACCACUUAAUGGUCAUCUACUAUGGUACUAGCACAGCGUGGUUUCACCAAGACAAAACUUCCUGUUUAAGAUUUUAUAAUCUCUUUGUGUAGGGAGAUCAGAUCUGUACAGGUGAGAAAGUAAUGCAGACAACAAAGGAUAACGGAUGUGCUGCGGUCUGGGAGUCAGGGAGGUCUUUGUGGAGAUUGAGGAGCCCAUCAGGUUUUGGAGGAUAACAGUAUUUGAAAGAAGAAACGACAUCUUUGAAUGGAGAGACUGUGGGCAGAGUGAUAUGUGAAAGUUGAGUGGCAUGAAUGAUUAAGAUUGUAGAAGAUACAGAGGUCAGGGUAGAAAGCUGGGACUUGAUCCUAACAGGCAAUGAAAAAUUUCAAUUGAGGUUGAAAGAUUAGGUAGGAAACUACUAUAAAUGCAAAUAUAAAUAGUUGAUAUUCCUUGUAAGUGAUGUGGAUUUAGGAAACUACAGAAAGAAAAAAAUCCGGACAAAGAAGCAAGAGAAUCAGGCUGGCAUAUCUAUCAGAAGCCAAGGAAUUUCAAAUGUCAAAUGUGAAAAGAGACCUUCCACUCCACAUUGAAAGCAAACAAACAGUAAAGACUGAGGCUGUCCGCUGAAUUACCAUCUUGGAGAGCUGUUCCACCUCAGCCAGGGCACUCAGGAUGUCUCGGUCAAAGUCCAUGGCCUUCUGCCAGGCGCUGUGCGCAGCAGUGACCAGACCACCACAGCCAGGCCCCCCACACUUCUUCUGUCCUUCGUCAGUUCUGCAGUUGGGGCCACCACAUUCCGUCUCGGAGCAGGAGGCCCCUGGAGGCGUGCCACAGGUCUGCAACAAGCCAAGAGAGUGAGGCUCAGACAGAAAUCCCAGAAUGAUUCUGAAUUGCUCUACCAAAAUGGAGUUUGCACUUCAAAUCAGAACCAAGUAAAAAAGAAAUGUCCACAGCAUGAAAAGGAUCAAGUUUAAAUAAGUCACAGUACGUGAGAGCAGGCAUGGUUCUCUGGGUGUUCCACAGAGAGACCCCCUGGAGAGAAGGAAGAUUCGAAGCACAGAGCCUUGUUUUUAAUCUGGUUCAGUCAUGGUACCCCACAUUGGUGUUCAGAGAUGGGACCACUCCUGGUUCAUUUGCAAAGUGAACAAUAUUAAAGACUAAGCAGGGUGUUUUUUUCCUCCUCUAGCACCACAGCUUUGAGGCCAAGCUCUCUAACCCUUACCA
Myotis lucifugus (little brown bat) is the source of this 1259-nucleotide long non-coding RNA. RefSeq lists it as uncharacterized. The transcript has 3 exons. The record is from RefSeq and is a predicted model, not a curated record. NCBI's taxonomy places the organism in Eukaryota, Metazoa, Chordata, Mammalia, Chiroptera, Vespertilionidae.